Long non-coding RNA from Eucalyptus grandis, 1108 nucleotides. RefSeq lists it as uncharacterized. The record is from RefSeq and is a predicted model, not a curated record. Lineage: Eukaryota; Viridiplantae; Streptophyta; Magnoliopsida; Myrtales; Myrtaceae. The transcript is spliced from 2 exons.
AGCUGCUGCUUCACCCACCACCACACCGCCGCCCCACGCCCUACUCACCACCACCUCUUGGCCACCGAACCACCACCACCCACCGCUCGUCCGACAAGCCGUCUCGCCGUUGAGCCCGACGAGCUGUCGCGCCGUCCGCGCCGCUCCUCGCCGCCGUCCCCAAGCCACUGUCACCACCUCUUGCUGCCGCUCGCUCGGCCGUCCAGGCCGUUGUUGCUCCAAACCGCCACCGCCACCGCCUCCGCCAGAACCGAGCUCUUCCUCCGUCGGGGAAGUUGAAGCCCUCGAAGAUCGAUCUGGCCUCGAACGAUUCGAUGGCGAAGUGCCGGUGGCCGGGCUUCGCGAACCUUGCUUGCGGCUUGAUGAAUGGGAUGGCCUCGUCGAGGUUCCAGUUUGCCGCCUCCAUCUCGCGAGCCAUGGCUUUCGCGAAGUGCCUCACGGAUCGUAAGGCGUAGUGGAGGGCUUGGGCGAAGUGUUUCUGGGUUUGUCAUGAUGAAGAAAAAAAUUCUGCAGUAACUCUGUUCUGCAGAUUGGCCAAAGAGCGAAGAAUCAAGAAUUCCUGCCGGAUGCUGUUUUGGUUUGCAAGUGUAACGACAGCCAAGAACAGAAGAUCAUGGAAGGCAAUUCAAAGACAAGUGCGGAAGCUAUGUCAGAACCAUAAGGGCUCUGAUACCAUAUCAAAUGCAGUGAUUGCUCAAGAAGCGAAAAAGAGGCCACAAGCUUCAGAGACUCAUCGCCCUAUGUACAAGAGAAGAUAAAAAGGUAUCGCAUGGUGAUUUGUCAUUCUGCUAUUCGAAGCCACAGAUGAUGACAAGGAUAUCUAAGGAGAACAGACUCAGAGCAUCAACCAAAUUCUUGCCAAAACCAAUUACGUUUGGUAAAUCUCUCUUCAUUUCCUUUCUAAAUUGGUAGAGGGGGUGGGCUGACUGUACAGAGAAUGGUAGCAAAAGAUUCUAUACAAUGCUCUUGCAAAAUAAACACGACAAGCAGCACUAAUGAGGCAUACACUUGCUGCUGGUGUAAGAGACUACUGGAAUCUCACUAAGGUAUUGCAAGGAUGGACUAGAAAACUGCCAAAAUAUCGACAAUUAAAUGUGAUAACCAAAUA